UAGCUCAGUUGGUAGAGCAUGAGACUCUUAAUCUCAGGGUCGUGGGUUCAUGCCCCGU
Molecule: transfer RNA, 58 nt
Filed under: Neotoma lepida (desert woodrat)
Lineage: Eukaryota; Metazoa; Chordata; Mammalia; Rodentia; Cricetidae
Rfam family: tRNA
About the family: Transfer RNA (tRNA) molecules are approximately 80 nucleotides in length. Their secondary structure includes four short double-helical elements and three loops (D, anti-codon, and T loops).
Source: Rfam by way of RNAcentral